Molecule: long non-coding RNA, 2265 nt
Organism: Raphanus sativus (radish)
Lineage: Eukaryota; Viridiplantae; Streptophyta; Magnoliopsida; Brassicales; Brassicaceae
Exons: 3
Source: RefSeq, a predicted model, not a curated record
AACUAUGGUCGACUCUCUACAGCAAUGGUGUGGCUGCAAAGAUGGAUAGCUAAUCAAAGACACAGGAUCACCCUGUAUAGUCUAAGAUGGAUUCACAAGGAAUUCCUUCCUUUAAGUGAGAUCAAUGUUCCUUUAGCUGAACAGAGAAAGCUUGAAGACUUGAAACAACUUGAGAAAAUAAUUCUUAGAUUGAAAGUUGAAUGAAAAAAACAAAGUAGGCUGCUUGCACAGUCUUAAAGAAAUCGACAGAAAUCAAAAGAAAACCCUAGGGUUAAACCAGAUGGUUUAAUCAUAAUCCUAAAACUAAUUAAAAUCGAAAUUGGUCUAAUUUAAAUCCUAACCCUACCCAAACUUGGUUUAUUGUUUCUGGUUUAAAUUAAAUGAAAGCCCAAUAACCAAAAACAUUACAAUUUAAUUAAAUUGAACCAACAGGCUGGUUUGUCUUGGUUAUCUCCCUUGCAAACAUCUCCCACGAUUUGGCUAAGUGUAGGAGACUCUUCUCUUGUGCUCUCAGCCUUGAUCUAGUCAUUGGUCCAAUCCACACACUAGCUGGCUCUCCUGGUAUCUCUCUCUGGUUCUGGUUCUGGUCUUGGUUCUCCUCAUCAGUAGCCUCCUCAUCAGUGUCUCUCAGCUUCUCCUCAAGGUCUCUGGUCAUGGCUAUACCAGGAUCACUGGAGACUUUGUCGAUUUCAAACUUUUCAUUGUUAGAGACUAUCUGCUGGGGUGGUAACAUCCAGAAUCUGAAGACGCUAAGCAAAUAGAUUGCUGUCCGAAAAUAACAUCACUUUUCUCGGAUGCCUAGCAGCCUAGCGGAGCUGAACAUAAACUAUUGUGAGAAGCUUGAGAAAGUUGUUGAAGGAGUCCAACUGUCAAGUAGCCUGAAAUUGCAAGUCAAGAAUUGCCCAAAGUUGCCGGAAACUUCAGAAAGCUCGGACUGGGUUAUUGUAGAACCCCCUGAAGUAUCACCACAAGAGUGAAAGAUCACUGAAGUAGAUGGAGCAACAUGAUCUACUUUGCUUUGCACUAAGCAUCUGGAUUGUUGUUACCUGUAAUGAUUUACAUACUUCGCCCGCGUGUAUCUGAAUAACGACCGGCUUUGAAACAUCAUCUUACCGGCCUUGGUCUGUUUAUUUUGUAAGAUAUUUUCUGCAUAGCAUCACAUACAUGGUGUUUUCUUUUUGUCUGGGUGAACAAGACUUUGAGUACAAUGGUCAUGUUUUAGAAGACAUUUAUUUGAUUACAUAAAAUAGAAAUGUUUAUUUAUUCAGUGUUAUACACAAGCUCUAAAGAAGUUAGAAAGGCUUUUUGCCCUUAAUGAAACAAGAGAAAUAAAUAAGUGUUAUUGGAAAUACUUAGUGAUGUCUAUGGAUGUGAUCUCCAGACACCAUGACCAUCUGUGGGACAGAAUGCGACUUUCGGGCAUUUAAAUUUCUCCAACAGCUUCAGUCGUGGAAACAGUGUCUGCAGAUCUUUCCACUCAGCCUUGAAUUCAUGCCGGCUUUGGUGCAGGUGAAGAAAAUGAUAUUAUGAUCCUAGGUUAUGGGUUUUAUCCAUUCUUAAUUAGCAAAACUCAAAUUGGUAUUCCAUAGUUUGCAUGUGAAAGGAUGUACAAUAUCUAAUUAGGUAAUAAAUAAAAUAUAAAGAAUAUUGUACCUUACAAAGUCUGUUGUCUAAAAAGUGACGUUCACGUAUGAUUGUAUCCAACACUUUAUGAAGUGAUCCUCUGUUUCUGAAUAAAAUAAAAAAACACUAAAGAGAAAUCUUGCUUUAUAUAACUACUUCGUGGCAUCGAAGCUGGCUUGCAGUCUGAAACAAACAACAAUGAAGAAAGCAUCCGAUACAGUUGUUCUUUGUUUCCAAGAAAGGGAACAGAAGAAACUCAUUAUGUGGAAAAAGCAAAGUAUCCAUAUCCAUGCAAAACACAUGGUUCUAACUUCUAAUUAACCUUACAUAACUGAUAACCCCAUGGUUAAACCAAAAAUUUAAUCUAUCAUAUCAACUUCUUACCGAUUUCUUCAAAAAGCUUAUAAAAAUCUCCUAAAUUAUGAAGCCAUUACUUUUUUGAAGCCCUAAGUUAAUACGAAACCCAUAAUUAUCUCGUGUAGGUCAAAGUUCACGCGAAUCAGAAUUUCAUCUCUCUAGGGGUGGACGUUCAUUUGGUUCAGCUCAAUUCGAAUUUCCGGUUUCCGAGGUCAAAUAUUUUAGUGCCAUUUGGAUAUUUCUAAAUUUUGGUUUGGAUCUUUCCAGGUUUGAUUCGGGUUUGGA